AACGAACGCUGGCGGCGCGCCUAAUACAUGCAAGUCGAGCGAGAAGACGUAGCAAUACGUUUGUAAAGCGGCGAACGGGUGAGGAAUACAUGGGUAACCUACCCUCGAGUGGGGAAUAACUAGCCGAAAGGUUAGCUAAUACCGCGUACGCUCCUUGGACUUCGGUUCAGGGAGGAAAGCGAUACCGUGGGUAUCGCGCUCUUGGAUGGGCUCAUGUCCUAUCAGCUUGUUGGUGAGGAACGGCUCACCAAGGCUUCGACGGGUAGCUGGUCUGAGAGGACGAUCAGCCACACUGGCACUGCGACACGGGCCAGACUCCUACGGGAGGCAGCAGUAAGGAAUAUUGCGCAAUGGGCGAAAGCCUGACGCAGCGACGCCGCGUGGGGGAUGAAGGUCUUCGGAUUGUAAACCCCUUUCGGGAGGGAAGAUGGAACGAGCAAUCGUUCGGACGGUACCUCCAGAAGCAGCCACGGCUAACUUCGUGCCAGCAGCCGCUGUAAC
Molecule: ribosomal RNA, 501 nt
Filed under: uncultured bacterium
Lineage: Bacteria
Description: bacterial SSU rRNA
Rfam family: Bacterial small subunit ribosomal RNA
Source: RNAcentral